Molecule: ribosomal RNA, 814 nt
Filed under: uncultured delta proteobacterium
Lineage: Bacteria; Deltaproteobacteria
Description: bacterial SSU rRNA
Rfam family: Bacterial small subunit ribosomal RNA
Source: RNAcentral
AGAAGUUUGNAUCAUGGCUCAGCAUUGAACGCUGGUGGCGUGCUUAACACAUGCAAGUCGAGCGAGAAAGUUCUCUUCGGAGAACGAGUAGAGCGGCGCACGGGUGAGUAACGCGUGGAUGAUCUACCUUCGGGAACGGGAUAACGGAUGGAAACGCCCGCUAAUACCGUAUGGUCUUCAUAUUUGGCUUUAUGAGGUAAAGGUGGCCUCUACACGUAAGCUACCGCCUGGAGAUGAGUCCGCGUCUCAUUAGCUUGUUGGUGGGGUAACGGCCUACCAAGGCGACGAUGAGUAGCCGGCCUGAGAGGGUGGCCGGCCACACUGGAACUGGAACACGGUCCAGACUCCUACGGGAGGCAGCAGUGGGGAAUAUUGCGCAAUGGGGGAAACCCUGACGCAGCGACGCCACGUGAGGGAUGAAGGCUUUCGGGUCGUAAACCUCUGUCAGGAGGGAAGAACCGCUUUGAGUCGAAUAGGCUCAGGGCCUGACGGUACCUCCAGAGGAAGCACCGGCUAACUCCGUGCCAGCAGCCGCGGUAACACGGAGGGUGCGAGCGUUAAUCGGAAUCACUGGGCGUAAAGCGUACGUAGGCGGCUUUGCAAGUCAGGGGUGAAAUCCCUCGGCUCAACCGAGGAACUGCCUUUGAAACUGCAUGGCUUGAGUAUCGGAGAGGCAGGCGGGAAUUCCGGGUGUAGGAGUGAAAUCCGUAGAUAUCCGGAGGAACACCAGUGGCGAANGCGGCCUGCUGGACCNAAUACUGACGCUGAGGUACGAAAGCGUGGGGAGCAAACAGGAUUAGAUACCCUGGGUAGU